RNAcentral lists this ribosomal RNA (291 nucleotides) under uncultured bacterium. Its description in RNAcentral is "partial 16S ribosomal RNA". It matches the Rfam family "Bacterial small subunit ribosomal RNA", at positions 773 to 1060 of the family's 1533-position model. The record is from RNAcentral.
GUGGAUUAGAUACCCUAGUAGUCCACGCCCUAAACGAUGUCAACUAGUUGUUGGGUGGGUAAAACCAUUUAGUAACGUAGCUAACGCGUGAAGUUGACCGCCUGGGGAGUACGGCCGCAAGGUUAAAACUCAAAGGAAUUGACGGGGACCCGCACAAGCGGUGGAUGAUGUGGAUUAAUUCGAUGCAACGCGAAAAACCUUACCUACCCUUGACAUGUUCAGAAUCCCGGAGAGAUUUGGGAGUGCCCGAAAGGGAGCUGGAACACAGGUGCUGCACGGUCGUCGCCAACU